This 1107-nucleotide long non-coding RNA is filed under the name Felis catus (domestic cat). RNAcentral's name for it is "lncRNA (ENSFCAG00000048902.1)". Lineage: Eukaryota; Metazoa; Chordata; Mammalia; Carnivora; Felidae. The record is from RNAcentral.
CCAGAAGCCCCAGGCCUCUGGGUCUUCCUUCACACCUUCCUCCCAUUCCGGUCCUCAAUAGAGUCUGAGGGCCGGACGGCGGGCGGCUGGAGAUCGGCUCCCCGGCAGCGGCGGGUGCAGACAAAGGGGCGGCGGUGCGGGGCUCAGGCCGGGGUCGGGGGCGGGCGCGGGCGCGGGGCUCGCGGCGCGGGGCCGGGCCGGGGGCGGGCGCGGCGGCCGAGCGCGCGGGGAGGAGCCGCGGCCGCGUCUUCUCCUGGCGGCGCGCGCCUGCCCGGCCCCGCGGCGGCGGCGGCGGCGGCGGCAGCGCGUCACGCUCUCCCCCGCCCCGAGCCGAGGAGCCGGGAGGCGGCGGCCGCGCGGCUGCUGCUGCUGCUGCUGCUGCUGCUGCAGUGGGGCAGGUGGCGACGACUGGCGGCGACCGAGACGGCGGUGAGCGGGGCGAGGCGCGGGCCCUCUCCCCUUCCCCGGUGCCCUCCUCCCCUUCCCCUCGCGCCGGGCCGGGCCCGCUCCCGUCCUCCGGGCCGGGCAGUGAGGGGCCGGGCCCGGCGUCCGGGGGGGCCCCGAGUGCCCCUCGCGGGGCCGCUCCCGAGGGGAGAUCCGAGGAGUCCCGAGCGGGUGGCCCCGGAGGCCAGCGGGGGGCCCCGGGGUGCCCCCCACCGGAGCCGGAAAAGUGGCCGGCCCUGUCAGCGCCGAGCCCGGCCUUCCCUUCCUCCGUCCGCCUCAAGAUGGAGCUUGGAGUCCUUGCCCCUGCGCCGCCCCAGGCGCCGCUCCCUCCCGGGCACCCCGCUCCGCUCCCCUCGGCCCCGGGGGUGGGGGUGGGCGUUGGGGCGGCCCGGACCCCCCCCGGGAGGCCGAGCCCCGGGGGGACCUGUUGCCCCCGGGCGCUGCCGCCGGUCUCCCGAGCGUUCCUCGGGCCCUGCCACCGGGUGCCCGCGAGCCGGAAUGGAGGGCACCCUGGCCGUGGCCUCCGUGCGUGCGCCGGCCGGCGGGCUGGCCCGGCUGGCCUCGGGCCUGGCUGGCUAUGGCUUUUGUCCCCCCACCCCGCGUCCCCUAGGUGGGACUGAUUGUCGGAGAAGGUGGGUGACAAGAGGUGACCGGGAUUUCUGA